Long non-coding RNA from Neofelis nebulosa (Clouded leopard), 762 nucleotides. RefSeq lists it as uncharacterized. The record is from RefSeq and is a predicted model, not a curated record. The transcript is spliced from 2 exons. NCBI's taxonomy places the organism in Eukaryota, Metazoa, Chordata, Mammalia, Carnivora, Felidae.
AGUAGGUGGCUCCAGCAUAUCACUGGCAUGGCUCACUUAGAAUCUGGUAUUAACAGCUGUGAUAACUUGAGUAGUAUAGGCAAAACCUAUUAUUUUCUUUUGGAUCUGUGAGUCUGAACUAAGGUGCAUGCAAUAGUUAAUUUUAUGUGUCAGUUUGAUGGGGCCACAGUGCCCAGAGAGUUGGUCAAACAUUAUUCUAGAUGUUCCAGUGAGGAUGUUUUUUGGAUGAGGUUAAUAUUUAAGUUGGUGGACUUUGAGUAAAGCAGACUGCCUUCCCCAUUGAGUGGGCUUCAUCCAAUCAGCUGAAGACCUUAAUAGAAUGAAGAAUGACUUUCCACCAGGAAAAGGAAAUUCUGCUGGCAGUCUGCCUUUGGACUCAAACUGCAACAUCAACUCUUCCCUGGGUCUCCAGCCUGCCCAUCUUCCUGCAAAUUUUGGACUUAACAAGCCUCCACAAUCAUAUGAACAAACUGAGGCUGAGGGCUGUUAAAUAAAUGUCAUCCAACUACUAAGAGGUGGAACAAAGCUUCAAAUCCUAGUGGAGCAACCCCAGAGACCACACUAACAGAAAGAUGCUUCACUGACUCCUUACCUAACCAUAAGCCUGGAAGAAGUUGGGAGAUAGUUGCCAGGAAUGGUGCCCUAAUCUUAGACUAGUUAAUUUGUGACCAUUCUGUCUGCAAGUAACCAGAUCCCAAGGACAAUUUUCUUGGAAGGCCACUUUUUAGGCUGUAAUAAUAAAGUCAUAUCGUCUUCAGAUAA